UGUCCUCAUGUGCCUCAAACAAUAUUGAGCCAAAAAAAGUAAAGGAAGGAAAAAAAAAAUUCCUGUGGCAUGGUGGAUCGAGAGGUUACAAGAGAGCAUGGUUGUCUUUUUCUCUUAAAAAGAAAGAAAGAAAGAAAGAAAGAAAGAAAGGAAAAAGAAGCCUCUAUUGAAGAACAUUGGGUUGUAAAUGCUCUAAACAUUCAGAGACAAUGACAUUAAAUCCAUCUUCAUGAGAGCAAAAUUUAGAGAUGAGCAUUUGACAGAGGUCUGGUGACAAGGAAAUACCUCAAAUUUGUCUCGGAAAGUGUAAAUUCAUUUUGGCAUUGCCAUAUGUCUGGAUCAUUCACUACAAGUCUACAACAUAUUUGAAAAUUAAGAAGGAAAUAAGGAGGCUACCAUCAAAUAAGAAAAUACUAAAAUUUACCAGUCCGACCCAUCGGG
This 441-nucleotide unclassified non-coding RNA is filed under the name Hevea brasiliensis (rubber tree). The record is from RNAcentral. Lineage: Eukaryota; Viridiplantae; Streptophyta; Magnoliopsida; Malpighiales; Euphorbiaceae.